UACGUAGGGGGCGAGCGUUAUCCGGAAUCACUGGGUGUAAAGGGAGCGUAGACGGAGUGGUAAGCCUGGAGUGGAAGGCCGCGGCCCAACCGCGGGAGUGCUCUGGGAACUGCCAUGCUGGAGUAUGGGAGGGGUAAGCGGAAUUCCUGGUGUAGCGGUGAAAUGCGUAGAUAUCAGGAGGAACACCGGUGGCGAAGGCGGCUUACUGGACCAUGACUGACGUUGAGGCUCGAAAGCGUGGGGAGCGAACAGG
RNAcentral lists this ribosomal RNA (253 nucleotides) under uncultured bacterium. RNAcentral's name for it is "partial 16S ribosomal RNA". It matches the Rfam family "Bacterial small subunit ribosomal RNA", at positions 524 to 776 of the family's 1533-position model. The record is from RNAcentral.